UAAGUCAGAACCGUGCUAGAAACGAUGAUGUUGGUCCUGCACAUAUUAGCUGUGUUAAAAUAGAGCUUUGCUCGUGAACCAAAUCAGACAGACGUGGGUAUUGCAGUGGAAAUCUGUGGUAUCUAGUUUGUGAAUUGUAAUUACCAUAUGGGCGGGGGUGAAUCCUUUGCAGACGACUUGAAUGGGAACGGGGUACUGUAAGCAGUAGAGUAGCCUUGUUGCUACGAUCUGCUGAGGUUAAGCCCUUGUUCUAAAGAUUUGU
This 262-nucleotide ribosomal RNA is filed under the name Rhizoctonia solani. RNAcentral describes it as "partial 28S rRNA". It matches the Rfam family "Eukaryotic large subunit ribosomal RNA", at positions 3131 to 3401 of the family's 3401-position model. The record is from RNAcentral. Lineage: Eukaryota; Fungi; Basidiomycota; Agaricomycetes; Cantharellales; Ceratobasidiaceae.